RNAcentral lists this non-coding RNA (29 nucleotides) under Rattus norvegicus (Norway rat). Lineage: Eukaryota; Metazoa; Chordata; Mammalia; Rodentia; Muridae. The record is from RNAcentral.
UGAGAGGCAGCUUGCGAGUGGGUUCUCUC